Orcinus orca (killer whale) is the source of this 479-nucleotide long non-coding RNA. RefSeq lists it as uncharacterized. The record is from RefSeq and is a predicted model, not a curated record. The transcript is spliced from 3 exons. NCBI's taxonomy places the organism in Eukaryota, Metazoa, Chordata, Mammalia, Artiodactyla, Delphinidae.
GAAAUAUAUAGAGAGAGCUCUACAUUUUCAUUUUAAUGGCUAUGUAUAUUGGCAUUCCAUUGUGUGGAUGUACCUCAUCCAGGUUCAUGUGAAGUGUCCAGCUGACUGCAGUCACGCAAGAGAUUCUAGUGAAGAGGAAGAACCAUGUGAAGAGGAAGAACCACCAACUGAGCCUGGCUAACUCUCAGAAUCAUGAAAAUAAAUAACUGAAACACUAAGGCAAUAUGUACUCACCUGUCCCUGAAGGAGAAAACCCAGAAGUGUCUUUCAAUGAGAACAUCAAGUUCAAAGAGCAGAAUCUAUGGGUGAUACAGUGUAGUCCCUACAUCAGGAAGAAACAUGCUUCAUGUCUGAGUGUGGCUCUGCUUGAUCCAAAAAACUUCUGAACUAAAAAGGCAAGUCAUCAGUUCCCUAAACAUCCAGUAUACACUGGUAAACUUGUGUUCAGGGUAACCUCAAUAACUAUUCCCUGGAGAAAA